Molecule: long non-coding RNA, 3385 nt
Filed under: Helianthus annuus (common sunflower)
Lineage: Eukaryota; Viridiplantae; Streptophyta; Magnoliopsida; Asterales; Asteraceae
Description: hypothetical non coding rna
Source: RNAcentral
CACAGUAAUGCUAAGUUCAUUGUAAGAAUAAGGUCCACAUGAGCUUGAAGAUCUUGUAGUAUCUUGCGUAGUUUUUCCAACAUAAAAUCCUGGUUCAUUGGGUGAAGGCAAUGGACCAUCACUCCCCAACAUCACGAUCACAGACGUCAUAGUCGGUCUAUCUUCUGGGUUACGUUGAACACACAACAAAGCAACAUGGAUUGAUCGUAGAACCUGAGAGACACUGAUUGAUUCACUUAGAGAUUUAUCAACUAGUUGCAAGGAUUUGCCUUCAUUAUAGAGUCCCCAUGCCUGUCAAAAGCAAAGAACACAUGCAUAAUUGUUUCAAAAGCUUUAUACUCUUUCAUUCAAACUAAAAAACCAAAGUUAUUUUACCCUUUCAUACGGUUUGCAAAUUCAAAAUAGAAAGGUCCAAACUUACAUGUCCAAUAAGGUUGUUGCAAUGUUCUUUGUGGACGAAUCCUCUAUUUUUAUCCCCACACACAAUUUCCAGCACCAACACGCCAAAGCUAUAUACAUCUGAUUUAAUUGAAAAGACGCCACCUCCUGCAUACUCUGGCGCCAUGUAGCCACUAUGGGGAAUCAAGUCAGUGUAAGAGAUUCAAUAAAUACAUUGAAAUGAGUUUAGGAUUGUUAAAUCUCACUAUGUUCCAACCACUUUGCUUGUCUUUGCCUCCAUUUGGUUGCCACGAAAAGUUCUCGCUGUGCCAAAAUCUGAUAUCUUGGGGUUCAUAUUUUUGUCAAGCAAAAUAUUGCUAACUUUUAGAUCUCUGUGUAUGAUUCUGAGCCGAGAAUCCUGAUGAAGAUAAAGAAGUCCGCGAGCAACUCCGAUGAUAAUGUGGAAUCAAGGCCUUUGUUUGGCAUGUAUUCAUAAACCAGCAUCACUUCGUCUCCUUCUAUGCAGCAGCCCAAUAAUUUAACGAGAUUUCGAUGUUGUAGUUUUGAUAUCAAGAUGACUUCAUUCUUGAACUCAUGAAGUCCUUGGGUGGAUGUUUUUGCUAGCCGCUUUACUGCUAUUUCCUUCCCGUCUUCGAGUACACCCUGAAACAUAAAUCCCGAUGAUAAUGUGGUAACGUGCAGACCAGUCAAGUUGUUUAGAUCUUCAAGAUUACAUGUUUUAUGCUAAGAAUCAUCGUUUAGUAACACAUGAACACCGCCGUCCGCCUGCAUUACAUAGAAUUAGGGUCAUGGAGUGAUAUAUACCUUGUAAACAGGUCCAAAACCACCCUCUCCAAGUUUGUUGUAUGCUGAAAAGUUGUUUGUAGCUUUAAGUAUUGUAGACAAGCUAAAUAGUGGUAGCUCUAGAUCUUCAUCACCGCUUCCAUUUUCAGGAUCAUGUCUAAACUUGUUACUGGAUGUCCCUGUGAAGUGGACAAGCACAGCUUUGGUUCAAUGAACUUGUAACACUGUUAAACUGGUACAUAUACGUAUUUUCCCAACAUCAGAUUUUUUAUUUAAUAACUUGUUACACGGAUAUGAUUACAUGUUUCUAUUAUUUACGCAAGUCAAUAAAUAUUUCUUUUGUUGUGUCACAAAAAUAAAACAUAACUUGAGCCGACCUAUUCAUAAAUACACAACUAUUUGGUAAACAAACUCCAUACCUUGUUGCUGCUGCUUCUUCCUAUUAUAACGAUAAAAUAGGCAUAUUGAAACUAGCAUGAUCAAAGCUACAAAUGCCACGGGGACAAUAACUCGUACUCUGCUCCCUGCACUUGACCUUUUAUUGUUUUUUACCGAAUCUGCGUGAAAACAUAAUGUUCAUUUGAUAUUUUGACAUAUAAUAAAGAAGACAGUAAUGAAAAAAAAAAAAAAAAACUAAUGUUUUGAUCUACCUAGCUCUGAAGGUGGCAUUCGUAUAUAAAGAGUGUCCCCUGUAUCUGCAAACGUUCUGAUAUCAAUCAAGUCACCGAACCAAAGCAAGCAACCACCUCCAGAGCCUGAUAUAUUUGCAUUUGUGUAAGCAGUACAAGAACAAUUGCUUUUACACAUCUUCUCACACUCUACAAGGGUCAUCUUCAGGUUAUACCAUGACCCCUGAGUGUCUGGUAACUUUAGAUUUGAGUAUUUGUUGAACCCCUCCCCAUUUUCACAAUCCAAAAGGACAGUACGUCGACACCCUUGUGACCAAUCUCCAACUGUCCACUGAUCAGGAGAUGUGGGUUCAAAUCCCUUCAAACAUUCACAAACUGGGGACUGGUUGAUGUUGCAGCUCGCAUAUGGCCCACACACCGAGUAUUGAUCACAGUGGUCGAUUUCUGAGGUUAAAUAAAGGAUCCAUUCUUUUUUGCUAUCAAUCCAUAAUAAGCGCUCUAUACGACCAUUUGGUUGUAACACCAACCUCGUAAAAAUCGAACUAUUUUUCAGAUUGUACUGGUAGUAAAUUUCUUUGUCAUUAAGAACAAAGGUGAAGUUGUAAAUUGGGUUUGGUCUCAAAUUAGGACCUCCACUAAACCUGAGUCCAUUCCAGGGACCUUCCCGGAACAUUAUUUCCUUGCCUUCUGUUUGGAUCAGCUGAGGGUAACCUCUGAUAUCAACCCCUGCAGAAAACUCACCCGAAGCAGGAUCAUCGUUGGACUUCCUUGACGUGUAGCGCCUUUCCAUCCGGGUAACCAAAUCCCACCCUGCCUUCAUUCCUGGAAGAACGGUGUCUGUCAGAAAGUCAAAACUUUGCCAUAUGGGAUUUUCUUGAUUCGUGUGGUCACCUUCGUAAAUUAUAAAGUUGCCAGUAUCUAAAAGCUGACCAAUAGGAUUCCUCACUGAUGUCGUUGAUGAGUUCGCUGACGACCAUAUGACAUUCCUUGUGGUAGCAUCCCGGAUAACUAAAACUCCCUGGAGUGUGAGAGUUAGCUCGCCAGAGGUAUUGCUGACUGGUGUGUUCCUGUUGGCUACCCAUACAACAGUUCCAGUGGAUAUUUUUUUGUACCAAAUUCCGACAUAAUGGUUAGUGGAGUUAGGGGGGCUGAAGAAACCAAGUUCGAAGGUUUCGUUGGGGGAAACAAUGGUUUCAUUAUAUCUAACGAUUUGGUUGGCAGAUAUGGUGUCUGCAGCAUGGGUAAGAGGUAUUGAUAGAUAAAGUGCAAGGAAGCCAAAGAUCAACCUGAUCUUGGUCAUUCUUCUUCACUGCAUUACCAAGUCCAGAAGCUAAAAAGAAAACUCCAUUUUAGUUGAUUUAACAAACUAAACGUCAAUUUUGGUAGGCGUUUUAUUCCUGGAAGGUACCAUUUUAUUUCUUUUAAAAGGGUCUUUUGUUUUAUUUUCAUUUUUUCAACCUUUCAUACUCAUAGUAAAUUAAUAUCAUCGAGUAGAGAAUUUUAGACUAUUUAAGUAAUUUUUUUGUUUCUUAUUCAACACUUUUCAUACUCAUAAUAGUAAAUUAAUAUCAUCG